RNAcentral lists this ribosomal RNA (44 nucleotides) under Monascus sp. SBL 2004b. RNAcentral's name for it is "partial 28S ribosomal RNA". Lineage: Eukaryota; Fungi; Ascomycota; Eurotiomycetes; Eurotiales; Aspergillaceae. The record is from RNAcentral. RNAcentral also lists the same sequence under 1 other name.
ACCUCGGAUCAGGUAGGGAUACCCGCUGAACUUAAGCAUAUCUA